RNAcentral lists this long non-coding RNA (242 nucleotides) under Elaeis guineensis (African oil palm). RNAcentral describes it as "long non-coding RNA (EGUI_LNC036610)". Lineage: Eukaryota; Viridiplantae; Streptophyta; Magnoliopsida; Arecales; Arecaceae. The record is from RNAcentral.
UAUCAGCCAUCGUACUCAAUACAUCAGAUCCUCCCUUAUCUCCCUUCUUGUUCUUCCACUGCGGGUAAUCUCGUUUGAAGUGCCCGAUCUCGUUGCACUUGUAGCACGUGACUUCUUUCUUUCUCCUACUCUUCCGAGACUUUGACCAUCCCCUUGACUUGCCUCUUUUCCUUCCUCUUCCAGAUCUCUCUCCCACAGCCAAGCCCUCCUGGGGAACACCUUCCUUGGUCAACUUCUCUUGC